GUGUCACUCACCUUGGUCUAUGUAAAUAUUAAACUUUAGGACGCAGAUGGAUUCAUGACAAAAUUGUGUUUUGGUGAUGGUGAUGUGUUUGUACAUCUUACUUUACUGAACAUUCUGCUGCUUACAAUUAUCUCUAUCUAUAAUGAACUUGGCCCAGUACUAGUUUCAGAGGAGAUUUUUGUAAAAGAUAACUAAGAUUUACGAAAAAUGGUUAAAAAUUGACUAUAAAGGGCAAUAACUC
This 241-nucleotide long non-coding RNA is filed under the name Mytilus galloprovincialis (Mediterranean mussel). Lineage: Eukaryota; Metazoa; Mollusca; Bivalvia; Mytilida; Mytilidae. The record is from RNAcentral.